RNAcentral lists this ribosomal RNA (458 nucleotides) under uncultured bacterium. RNAcentral's name for it is "partial 16S ribosomal RNA". It matches the Rfam family "Bacterial small subunit ribosomal RNA", at positions 338 to 795 of the family's 1533-position model. The record is from RNAcentral.
CCUACGGGAGGCAGCAGUGGGGAAUAUUGCACAAUGGGGGAAACCCUGAUGCAGCGACGCCGCGUGAGUGAAGAAGUAUUUCGGUAUGUAAAGCUCUAUCAGCAGGGAAGAAAUAGCGACCUUUGGGUCGCCAGACGGUACCUGAUGAAGAAGCCCCGGCUAACUACGUGCCAGCUGCCGCGGUAAUACGUAGGGGGCAAGCGUUAUCCGGAUUUACUGGGUGUAAAGGGAGCGUAGACGGCAGCGCAAGUCUGAAGUGAAAUGCCGGGGCUGAACCCCGGAACUGCUUUGGAAACUGUGCAGCUAGAGUGCAGGAGAGGUAAGUGGAAGUCCUAGUGUAGCGGUGAAAUGCGUAGAUACUAGGAGGAACACCAGUGGCGAAGGCGGCUUACUGGACUGUAACUGACGUUGAGGCUCGAAAGCGUGGGGAGCAAACAGGAUUAGAUACCCCAGUAGUC